This is a long non-coding RNA of Phyllostomus discolor (pale spear-nosed bat), 2237 nucleotides long. RefSeq lists it as uncharacterized. The transcript is spliced from 3 exons. The record is from RefSeq and is a predicted model, not a curated record. NCBI's taxonomy places the organism in Eukaryota, Metazoa, Chordata, Mammalia, Chiroptera, Phyllostomidae.
CCUUGAUCCGGAUACUAGAAGACCCGGACCGGCUGGGGGUGGGGGGUGGGGUACGAGCCUCUAGGAACAGCCAGCCCUCACGGAGAAAAACCUCUCGCCCUGAGGGUCUUGAGCAUCCUGAACUCUCUCCUCCCCUGACAGCCACUGCCGCCUCCUCUCUUCCUAGGAUCCAGUCACUCUCCUUGCCUUUUCCAUGACGCCAGUGGAGGAGAACUCUGAAAGUUUGCAAAGUGAGGGGUUGCAAGGAGGGUGCCAGUGCUGGGACCACGAGAGGUGAUUAAAGAAGGGUGCCUGAUGCUCAGGUGUGUCUGGCGAGGUAGACAGAUGCUCCCUGCCCAAUGUGACCAGUCCCAUGAAAUGUGCUACAGAUCGCAGCCUGUAUGGAGCAAGAAUCAAGGAGCAGGGAAGUCUUCCUGGAGGAGGAGGUGUUGUGAAGCAAAGGCUUCAGUUCCUACUCCCCUUCCUGGCCAUGCCCUGGAACCUUACCUACCCCUCUAGCUAGGAUUUACUUCCCACUCAUUCUCACUCUUCCCACUUGUUGCAGAUUAACUGGGCACCAGUUAAGGUGGACACUUUUGGCUAUUUUGAGGGAUGUGAUCUGCAGGCUUCUGGCUCUAAAACUCAAAUUCAUUGUUGCUCAGGCCAAAAACUGGAGGCAUCCUUGACUUCUCUCACUAUCCUGGGACUCCUCUAAUCAUCAUCUCACUGCUACUGCUGCUCUCCUGGUCCCAGCUAUCAUCUUUCUCACCUGGAUCACUGCAACAGCUUCCUAAUGGUUUGUUUCCACCUCUGCCUCCUGAUAGUCUGUUCUCAACAUGGCAUCAGGGUGAUCCUUUUAAAACGUAAGUUAGAUGUCAAUCCUCUGCUCAAAACCCUGUAAUGUUCUUAUCUCACUCAGCAUAAAAAAUCCUUACAUAGGCCAACAAGCUUCUUUAUGUGAGUCCCCUUGCCUGCCUGCCUAGCCCCCUUUGCUUCAACCAAGAUGGCUGUUACUCCUCUUCUGACAUGCCAGGCAUAUUCCUGUCUUAAGGCAUUUGUACUGUUGCCUCUUCCUGAAAUGCUCUUCCCCUAGAUAUGCACAUGACUACCUAUUAAAUACCACUUCAAUAAAACCACCCCAACAUGCCCUGUUUAAAAUUAUAGCCCAUCUUCACCCCAAGCCCUUCUAAAUCCUGCUGAAUUGUUUCAUGACACCACCUGCUAACAUAUAAUUUACUUAUUUAUCAUAUUUGGGGAGAAGUGCUCCAGACAUGUUAAGCAAGAGCUAGAAGGGAAUGAGGCUAAGGGAAUAUGAAGGGUGGAGAUAAAGUGCAAACUGGGAGAAUAUAUUUGUACCAUAUAUAACUGGUUAAGGAUUAAUAUCCAGGAUAUAUAAAGAACACCUUCAAAUCAACCAGAAAAAAAAAAGCCAUCUAUAUAAGUUUGUUACUGUAGUUGUUGUAACAAAUUACCACAAACUUAAUGACUUAAGACAACACAAAUUUAUUACAGUACUGGGGAUCAAAAAUCCAAACUCACAGGGCUUAAAUCAAGGUGUCAGCACAGCUGUGUUCCUUCUGGAGACUCUAGGGAAAAAUCCAUUUCCUUGCUUUUAUGGGUUUACUAGAGGAUGAUCACAUUCCUCUAGUAAGGACCCCUUUCAUCUUCAGAGCCAGUAAUCACAUCACUCAGACUUUUGCUUCCAUCAUCAUAUCUCUUCUGGUUCUUCUGUCUCUUUCUUUCACUUACUAGGACACUUGUGAUAACAGGGCACCCACCCAAACAAUCCAGGAUAAUUUCAUCAUUUCCAGAUCCUAAAUUUAGUUAUAUCUGCGAAAUCCCCUUUGUCAUGUAAGGUAACAUACUCACAGGUUCUGGGUGGACAUCUUUGGGGGUGGGGGGGCAUAAUUCUACUUACUAUACAGUCUAAUAGAAAAAUAGACAAAAGACAUGAAAAGACAUUCCAAAACGGAGUAAACACAUAUGAAACCUUUAUUCAUCAGGGAAAUAAAAACUAAAAUCACAAUGAAAUACCAUCACACACUCUCCAAAUUACUAAAAAAAUUUUAAAAAUAAUUGAGAACGAGGAACAAAGGACAACACUUUCAUUAAAUAUUUGACAGUAUGUAGUAAGUUUGAACAUACACAUACUUUACAACUCAGCAAUUGUGCUCCAAGAUAUUAGAAGUUAUUAUAUGUAUAUGUGCAACAGAAAACCUACAAGAAUGUUACUGGCAGCACUGCUAAAAAAAAAAAAA